This 465-nucleotide ribosomal RNA is filed under the name uncultured bacterium. RNAcentral's name for it is "partial 16S ribosomal RNA". It matches the Rfam family "Bacterial small subunit ribosomal RNA", at positions 338 to 795 of the family's 1533-position model. The record is from RNAcentral.
CCUACGGGAGGCAGCAGUAGGGAAUCUUCCACAAUGGACGAAAGUCUGAUGGAGCAACGCCGCGUGAGUGAAGAAGGGUUUCGGCUCGUAAAGCUCUGUUGGUAGUGAAGAAAGAUAGAGGUAGUAACUGGCCUCUAUUUGACGGUAAUUACUUAGAAAGGCACGGCUAACUACGUGCCAGCAGCCGCGGUAAUACGUAGGUGGCAAGCGUUGUCCGGAUGUAUUGGGCGUAAAGCGAGUGCAGGCGGUUCAAUAAGUCUGAUGUGAAAGCCUUCGGCUCAACCGGAGAAUUGCAUCAGAAACUGUUGAACUUGAGUGCAGAAGAGGAGAGUGGAACUCCAUGUGUAGCGGUGGAAUGCGUAGAUAUAUGGAAGAACACCAGUGGCGAAGGCGGCUCUCUGGUCUGCAACUGACGCUGAGGCUCGAAAGCAUGGGUAGCGAACAGGAUUAGAUACCCGAGUAGUC